RNAcentral lists this small nuclear RNA (194 nucleotides) under Orchesella cincta. RNAcentral describes it as "U2 spliceosomal RNA". It matches the Rfam family "U2 spliceosomal RNA". From Rfam's summary of the family: U2 is a small nuclear RNA (snRNA) component of the spliceosome (involved in pre-mRNA splicing). Complementary binding between U2 snRNA (in an area lying towards the 5' end but 3' to hairpin I) and the branchpoint sequence (BPS) of the intron results the bulging out of an unpaired adenosine, on the BPS, which initiates a nucleophilic attack at the intronic 5' splice site, thus starting the first of two transesterification reactions that mediate splicing. The record is from Rfam by way of RNAcentral. Lineage: Eukaryota; Metazoa; Arthropoda; Collembola; Entomobryomorpha; Orchesellidae.
AUCGCUUCUCGGCCUUUUGGCUAAGAUCAAAGUGUAGUAUCUGUUCUUAUCAGCUUAAUCUCUGAUACGACGCUCAUUGAGUGUCUCUCAGUAGAUUAAACCGAUUUUUGGGAACAGGAUGGGUCGUGAAGCUUGCUUCCGCCUGUCGCGGGUUGGCCCGGUAUUGCAGUACCGCCGGGAUCGGCCCAAUAAUU